Salmo salar (Atlantic salmon) is the source of this 426-nucleotide long non-coding RNA. RefSeq lists it as uncharacterized. The record is from RefSeq and is a predicted model, not a curated record. NCBI's taxonomy places the organism in Eukaryota, Metazoa, Chordata, Actinopteri, Salmoniformes, Salmonidae.
UACAUGCACAUGUAUUAAUUGUUCUCUCUCCUUCCCAGUGUGAGGGAAAGCUGACAGUAGGCUACACUGGCACAACCAUCGAAGGAGUAAAGAUGCAAAUAUUGACAGAAAGAGUGUGAUCUCUACACCUAAACUGUGCUCCCAUACAUGCCAUGCAGGUCUGCUGCUGCUCCUGAUGCACUACAGAUGCAGCAGACAGAGGAGGUCACGGGUCAAACCAAGCCCACACCUGAGAGGCUUUUGCUGUUUCCAUUGGUUCAAACCUGUUACUCACCCAGUCUUCCCAGAUCUAUCUGCCUGUCCUGACCCUGAGCCUGCCUGCCGUUCUGUCCCUGUUUGACCCUGCCUUGGACUACGAACCACUGCCUGCCCUCGACCUGCUCUUUGCCUGCCCCUUUGUAUAAUAACAAUUCUGAGUGUCGAAUU